AGUGAACGCUGGCGGUAGGCCUAACACAUGCCAGUCGAACGGCAGCACAGUAAGCGCUUGCUCUUACGGGUGGCGAGUGGCGGACGGGUGAGGCAUACAUCGGAAUCUACUUUUUCGUGGGGGAUAACGUAGGGAAACUUACGCUAAUACCGCAUACAACCUACGGGUGAAAGCAGGGGAUCUUCGGACCUUGCGCGAUUGAAUGAGCCGAUGUCGGAUUAGCUAGUUGGCGGGGUAAAGGCCCACCAAGGCGACGAUCCGUAGCUGGUCUGAGAGGAUGAUCAGCCACACUGGAACUGAGACACGGUCCAGACUCCUACGGGAGGCAGCAGUGGGGAAUAUUGGACAAUGGGCGCAAGCCUGAUCCAGCCAUACCGCGUGGGUGAAGAAGGCCUUCGGGUUGUAAAGCCCUUUUGUUGGGAAAGAAAAGCAGCAGGUUAAUACCCCGCUGUUCUGACGGUACCCAAAGAAUAAGCACCGGCUAACUUCGUG
Molecule: ribosomal RNA, 492 nt
Filed under: uncultured bacterium
Lineage: Bacteria
Description: partial 16S ribosomal RNA
Rfam family: Bacterial small subunit ribosomal RNA
Source: RNAcentral